Long non-coding RNA from Hordeum vulgare subsp. vulgare (domesticated barley), 643 nucleotides. RefSeq lists it as uncharacterized. The transcript has 2 exons. The record is from RefSeq and is a predicted model, not a curated record. Lineage: Eukaryota; Viridiplantae; Streptophyta; Magnoliopsida; Poales; Poaceae.
ACGUGCAGCACGUGAGCGGUCACUCAAAGAAACGCCUCGUGUGUGUGGGGCUUGGCUGCCGCUCAUCCAGUUCCAAAUCCACCACCGGAUGACCGGAGCUCCAAUGGCUGCCGCCAGAGACCUCAGGUCGGAGUAUCGCCCGAGAUCUUGCUCAACUGCCGCCGCAGACACCGAGCUCGUCGCAACCCAGUCCCAGUGCCUCUGACCUUAGAGCAAGGGAGUCCGGUGAAGGAGCUAUGUACCAAGGCAACAAUCCUCUUCUUCUUAGAAAGAUCAGGACCCUCCAUCGGUCUGAGCAAAGACAUUCCACCUUCCAGAUCGAAGUGAUCGUGUUGAUUCUACAGUUUCCUGCCCGAGGAAAAAAGAUGGAGAACUUCGAGGAGAAACCGGUUGAAGACCAUUACUACUUAUUUACUGAGGUAUUUUUUGGCCCAUACAGUUGUGUGAUAAUUCGAAUGAUUUGUUGCAAGUAUCAAGUGGAUACAGUGCACAUUGCACACUACGUACAUCCUUGCAGUUGGAAUUGAGACCUGUAGUAGUAUGUGUUUUGUUAGGUGCCUGUUUCAUGUCAAUGCUCGUCAUAUACAAAUACAGAUUGGUACCACAAACAUGUGCUUAAGUUAGCACAUUUGCUCCCAUAUUA